Molecule: long non-coding RNA, 2669 nt
Filed under: Homo sapiens (human)
Lineage: Eukaryota; Metazoa; Chordata; Mammalia; Primates; Hominidae
Description: non-protein coding lnc-DTWD2-14:2
Source: RNAcentral
AGCAGGAGUCGGAAGUGGCCCAGGCGCAGGAGAGCGCGGAGAAGGGCUGGGCGGCGGCCCGGGAGCCGGACUCGGACCGCGAGGCCCAGAUCGCUGGGCGCUGGAGAACAGGACCCUCUUGGGAGAUGUGCAUAGGAUACGGUAUUCCUGAGCCUCUCAGUUUCUUCCGUUGUAAAAAUGAGACGCCAACCUCGUAGUGUGUUGAGAUGGUUAAAUGGGGCCAUACACAUUUGCACUGUGCCUUGCACUUAACAAGAACGCGUGAAUGUUAGUGUCUGCUGCCAUCAUUAUUGACUAUUAUGAUGAUGAUCCGUGAAAGCCCCUGAAUUCCGCCUGCUCUUUUGCUUUUAAUUUUCUGCGGGCCUUAAGUCUACCCUACGAUAGCUGACGCGCUCCCGAUUCCUGGUUUCCAUUUGCGGAGAAUGCAGGGCUUCCUCUUGGAGUUAAAGACUCAUUGGCUCCUGGAAAGCCCUCGCUCUCUGCCGCCCCCCGCGGACUUAGCUGUGACUGUCCUUGCCUGUGGAGCAGAAGGCUUGCCCUCCUCAGGGGCCACCCGAGACCGCCAGGAUGGAGUAGGAUCUGGACCUUCAGUCUGUUGAGGAGCCCUGGCCCGGGGUAGCCAUUUUCAAGGGCGAGGGACCUUGGUGGGAGUACGAUGAAUCCAUCCAUACAAUAAACAUCCAUUAAGCACCUAGUACAUGGCAGCGGGGGGCAGAGGGCUGGAAAUAUUAAUAAUACUAGUAAAACUUAAUAUGUGUAGGUCACCGUUCUACUCCUUACAACAAUCUAUGAUAUAGAUCCUGUCGCUAUCCCUGUUUUACAAAGGGAAAGGGAGACAUCGUGAAGUAAAUAGCCUUCCCAAAGAAAGUUACACGUUUGGGAAAUGGCUGAGUUUGGCUUGGAGAGAGGAAAGUAAACUCUUGAUAGGUGAAAUAGACAAAAUCACAACACAUUUGGGUUUAAUGCAAAAGAUAGAAACAUACACAAGGUACGGAGGUUUUUAAAAGAGGACCUUGUCCUGUGGUUAUAACUUUGGGGAAGGGCGUCAGGGAGAUCUUCCUGGUGUAGGUGAUGUCUGAGCUGGGUUUGGAAGAAGAAAUGGGAGCUUCAAAGGCAGCUUAUAAGUGAAGAAGAAUCACAGUAAACUUUUUCAAGCCUGAAUAAGGAUGGAGGAGAAGUGGAAUGGUGGCCGGAAUAAAGCUAAAACAGUAAAACAGGACCAAACUCAAGGGCUGUUUUCCUAUAGAAACUAAACAACAUUAAUUUGACCUUUGAUUGGUAGGAAGCCAGAAGGGUUUUAAGCACAGGAGAUAUGUCAGGUGUGGUUCUAGAAAGUUUAAUCUGGAAACAUAGAAGAUCCCAGAACCAAGAAACUUGCUUAGGAAAUAUUGAAAUAUGUCGGUGAGAUACUUCAGUAGGCAGAAUGAGUAGAGUUACAGAAAGAGGUCCACUUCUUAAUCCCUGGAACCUGUAAAUAUGUUAUCUUACAUGGCAAAAGAAUUUUUGCAGGUGUUACCUUCUCAUUCGGUCAUGGGAAAAAAAAGAAUAAAGAAAUUUUGCAGGUGUGAUUAAGAUUGAUGCCAUUGAGAUGGGGGAUUAUCCUGGAUUAUUUCAGUGAGCCCAAUCUAAUCACAUGAAUCCCCUAAAAUGGAAGAAGAGUGGGUCAAAGAGAUUCAAAGUGUGAGAGGGACUCAACCUGAACCACGAACCAAGGACUGUGGAUAACCUCCAGGAGCUGGGAAAGGACCUUAGCUGACAGCCAACAAAAAAUUCACUUUCUUUAUCUGGUCUAGACUUGUUUUUCUUCCACAGUCCUACAACAGCAGAAACUGAAUUCUGCCAAUAACCUAAAUGAGCAAGGAAAUGGAUCCUCCCUUAGAGUCUUCAGAAAGUGAUUGAGCUCUACUGACACCUUAAUUUUAUCCUGGUACUCCAAUGCAGCAAUCCCCAACCCUUUUGGCACCAGGGACUGGUUUCGUGGGAAGACAGUUAUUCCAUGGAGCCAGAUGGUUUCAGGAUGAUUCAAGCGCAUUACACGUAUUGUGCAGUUUAUUAUUACAUUGUAAUAUAUGAUGAAAUAAUUAUACAACUCACCAUGACAUAAAAUCAGUGGGAGUCUUGAGCUUGUUUUCCUACAACUGGAUGGUCCCAUCUGGGGGUGAUGGGAGACAGUGACAGAUCAUCAGGCAUCACUCUCAUAAUGAGCACACAACCUAGAUCCCUUGCAUGCGCAGUUCACAGUAGGGUUCCUGCUCCUAUGAGAAUCGAAUGCCUCCACUGAUCUGACAGGAGGCGGAGCUCAGGUGGUAAUGCAAGCAAUGGGGAGCAGCUAUAAAUACACAUGAAGCUUUGCCCAACACUCACCUCCUGCUGUGCAACCCGGUACCAGUUGUCACCCAUGGGCUGGGGACUCCUGCUCCAAAGGGUAACAUUUUAACAUUCAGCUUAAAUAAAUUUCACCAAAAAUAUCUCAACAAUUCAAAGAGGAGUGUUCCUGACACCAGAUCACUUUAUUCAACAGAGCAGCUCCCAAAGUCAUGAAGUACUACUUGGUUUAAAAAUAAAGCUGUUUUUCCCACGUACACACAUUCAACAAAACUAUCUUUGGUAUUACUUUACUGAGUGAGGUUUAAAGGAGUUUGGGAAAAUAUUACAGCCUUCUUCCUUUU